GAAUAUUGGUCAAUGGGGGGAACCCUGAACCAGCCAUGCCGCGUGCAGGAGGAAGGCCCUACGGGUCGUAAACUGCUUUUCUACGGGAACAACCGGAGGUACGUGUACCUUCCUGAGUGUACCGUAGGAAUAAGGAUCGGCUAACUCCGUGCCAGCAGCCGCGGUAAUACGGAGGAUCCGAGCGUUAUCCGGAUUUAUUGGGUUUAAAGGGUGCGUAGGCGGUUCUUUAAGUCAGGGGUGAAAUACGGCAGCUCAACUGUCGCAGUGCCUUUGAUACUGAAGGGCUUGAAUGGUCUCGAAGACGGCGGAAUGGGACAAGUAGCGGUGAAAUGCAUAGAUAUGUCCCAGAACCCCGAUAGCGAAGGCAGCUGUCUAGGGAUUUAUUGACGCUGAUGCACGAAAGCGUGGGUAUCGAA
Molecule: ribosomal RNA, 416 nt
Filed under: uncultured bacterium
Lineage: Bacteria
Description: bacterial SSU rRNA
Rfam family: Bacterial small subunit ribosomal RNA
Source: RNAcentral